Molecule: ribosomal RNA, 484 nt
Filed under: uncultured bacterium
Lineage: Bacteria
Description: partial 16S ribosomal RNA
Rfam family: Bacterial small subunit ribosomal RNA
Source: RNAcentral
AUUGAACGCUGGCGGCAGGCCUAACACAUGCAAGUCGAGCGGAUGAAGGGAGCUUGCUCCUGGAUUCAGCGGCGGACGGGUGAGUAGUGCCUAGGAAUCUGCCUGGUAGUGGGGGAUAACGUCCGGAAACGGGCGCUAAUACCGCAUACGUCCUGAGGGAGAAAGUGGGGGAUCUUCGGACCUCACGCUAUCAGAUGAGCCUAGGUCGGAUUAGCUAGUUGGUGGGGUAAAGGCCUACCAAGGCGACGAUCCGUAACUGGUCUGAGAGGAUGAUCAGUCACACCGGGACCGAGGAAGCGUCCCAAACCCUAAGGGGAGCAAGCAGUGGGAAUUAUGGGACAUGGGGCAAAGGCCUAUCCCAGCCAGGCGGGGGUGGUAAGAAAGUUCUCGGGUUUUUAAACCACUUAAGUUGGGGAGAAGGGGAGUUAGUUUAAAACUUGGUGUUUUGACCUUACCCACAGAAUAAGCCACGGCCAACCUCGUU